GAAGACCGUGCCUCAUUUCAUCCCAAUUCCAGCUCUCCCACAAGCCUCCCUUCCAGUCGAGCCACCUCCGGUCGCAAUUUGAACAUCGAAGAGCACCACUCAAGCCGGCGCACUCAGUUUCCCUCGAUUUCAGCUCUCUAAAACCCCUCUCACGCAGUUGAUGACACACCUACCAUCUUCCUCGACGGCCUCCCACCUCCAAUCACAGUAUAAACUCCCACGACUUUGACACCACUCGCUGCGGUCGGAUGCUCGAGAAAUGGGAUUGAUUUCGGCUUAACUGCGGUCUUCAUUACGAUGUGGUUCGGGCAUUAUUCUGCGGCCUCCAGCUAGCGUUUUCAUUGCAAGAGUCGGAGAUUAGAAGCACGCCAUUAUACGUAAGUUACUGUAAUUUUUGCAUGUUUUCCAAUAUUGCUGUAUUCUUGGCCUAGCAUUUGUUCUGUAUGUCUAAUUGAUUCUGGACUGGAAGCACGCUAUUUUCCAUUAGAGAUUCUCGACAUUAUAUUGCUUGUUCUAUGGUUGAGUUGAUUUUGUUAUUAACCGUUAAUUAUAUGAUUCUGGACUGGACUCUUGAAUUUCAAUUAGAGAUUCUCGACAUUAUAUUGUGUGUUCUAUGCUUGAGUUGAUUUUGUAAUUAACCGUUAAUUAUAUAAGUUUUAUACUUUUAAACCAUGUUAACCACGUUUAGAAUUAUGACUAAAUUCUAUCGUGGAUGCCAUUUAAACCCUGUUAAAUAAAUAUUGAUGCAUAUAAUAGUAUUCCAGUAAAUUAGGUUGUUAAAUGUGUCGUUGAUCGAUGGGUGGUUGCAAUCUAAAGAGUUCAUGUAUCGUCUCUAGUAAAUGAAUUGGUGUUUAGUUUGAUUUUGACGUGCAACAAAUUGAUUGUUGGAAACGACUUGAUUUAAGUGAUAUAAUGGUAGCUUUUACUAUGGUUGUAUCAUCUUGUUAGUCUUUACUAUAUAUGAUUUUUGACGUGCAACCUUAUAGUUGUUGGCAACUUAUUCGUAAAUAUUUUACCAGAUAAUUCUUUUGAUUGGACAGAAACGAUGAGUAAUGGAGAAGUUUUUUCGCUAUUGAUUUAUUUAUUUCACAUGCUGCUCUACUUUGAACAAUUUGGGGUUCAUGGUUUGUACAACUGAUUUAUGUGCUUGUUUUCCAUCUAAGGAUAUGAAAGGAAGGAAUGCUGAAAUUUGUCACAGUUGUAGAAGCAAUGGACAUUUUUUCGAUGAAUGCCCCAGAAAACGUUGUUGCCCAAGGUGUGCACAUGGAUUUCAGAAAAAUUUUGAGGUUGAAAAGUAGACGUGUAACAAAGGGCGAUUAUUCAACACAUGCAGUAAGAAAUGUGGAUUUUUCGAAUGGGUCGAACAAGGAGAGUCAAGCGGAGAAUCGAGUACCAUUAAUGAAGCGCUUAAUGUUGCGGCAAAUGAGGAAGUCGAAGAUUUGCCAAGAAUGUUCGAAACUCUAGCUUGAAUAUCCUACGAACGAGAUGUAGAGAUUAACUUGAACAUUACUUUCCGCAAGGGAAACGGAAGUUCGGAAGGAAACGGGAAAACAAAGGAGGCCACUUGAUUAGUUUUAUUGGGUUGAACUUGUUAAUCGAAUUAUGUUUGUACUAGAACUUAUGAAUGACGUAACAACGUAUGUUCUAUCUUAGUAUGGGUGUAAUGCAAUUUAGUUUUAUGUGUAUUCGUUACCUAUAGCCAAAAUUUAUUGUCU
Molecule: long non-coding RNA, 1715 nt
Filed under: Olea europaea subsp. europaea
Lineage: Eukaryota; Viridiplantae; Streptophyta; Magnoliopsida; Lamiales; Oleaceae
Source: RNAcentral